AUUAAGAAAGAGCUAGUCAGUAAAAAGCCAGAGUCAUCGGCCAAACAGUUUGUAGUUAACAUAAACCUCUGUGUAUUUCUAUGGUUCUAAAGGGCUGCAUGACCAGGUAGGACAGGAAACUCUGUUUACACUUAUGUGUUCAUCUUUGGGUGCCUGUGAUGAGCCCAGGGUCUCCUGCCUACUCUACCACUAAGCUCAACUCUGAGCCCUAAAGGAACUGCUUUUUGGGGCCACCUUUUGUUGUGACUGUCAAUACUGAUAGUGUUCUUCAACAUUGGACACAUCUUUCCAAAUCUAGUAAUUGGAGGGCAGAGACAGGCAAAUCCUAGGGCCUUAAUGGCUAGCCUGCCCAAUCAUGUACACACACAUACACACGUACAUACAAAAAUAAAUAAGUGUGUAAAUAAUUUUUAAAAUAUUUCAUGAAUCCUAGAAUAUAAAGGCCACUUUUGGGCUCAUCAAGAAUGUGUACCUAUAUAUAUUUCUGCAUUAAACACACUGAAAUCAUUUUCUGGAGUUCAAUUUAUAUAUGUUGCACUUAUAUUGAAUAUGUAUGCAAAUAAACAGAAAGUUUGAAGGUAACAGUAAUGAAAUAAAUCCAUUUGUGCAUAUGUAAUCAUGCUAUAUAUAUUCAGUAUUGCUGUAGGCAUUUACUAGAUCAUAUUUUCCUUGUUUCUGUCAUUAUACAUAGUAUAGUUCCAUGUCUACAUGUGUAAAUUAGUUGCAUCCUUUCAAUGAUUAUUUAGUGUAUGUUGCUGCACCUUGUUCCCUGUGCACAAGACAUUCCAGGUUGCUUCCCACAUCAGUUUUCAGACGAUGCCUCGUCUCACACGUCUUUCACAGAUUAAGAACUCUCAUGGGAAAGAUUCCCAGUUGUGAAGACAACAGGGUGGUCACAUUAUAUAGAGACAAACACUGCAUAUUUAUAGAGUCUUCUGCAUCCUGAGAAAACUCAGCUCAGAGGCAAAGAAUUGAGUCAAGAGAAAGCAGAGCCCUGUGCUCAUGUUGUGGGUCCAUUGCCCUUUGUUAUGGUGGAAGUCACUCUUCAUUGCCACAACAACAGAAAAUAAACUUCAGGACACAGAAGCAAUUAUAUUCAUCUAGAAGGUGAAGUAAGAAAGCAUGAGAAAGUUAACCAGGAGAAUAAUUUCACUUAGGUAUCAUUUAAGGCAUUUAUAAUAGGCAUGCACAUUUAUUUUAAAUUAGAUUUUAGAAAAUAAUACACAAGGAAAGUAUCUUUUCAGUUAAAAAAAAGCACAAGGCUUCAUUCAUCCAGAGAGAAUAAGGGUGUUUUAAAAUAAAGUUCCAGACAGGUGAAGUGUCUCACAUCUGUAAUCUGAGUAUUCUGGAAACUGAGAUGGGAGGAUUGCUAUAAAGCUCAAGUCUAGCCUGGGCUGCAUAGUGAAAACCUGUCUCAGAGGUCUGAAAACAGGAAUAAAAACAUCAGUUGAUGAGGCAGUUGAUUCCAAAAAAAAUGUAGGGUAUGGGAAACACCACACCAAGAAACCAAACAGGCGAAAACGAAAAAGAAAUUGCCUCUCAACCUCAGUCUUGACUGUGCUUCAUUCAAAUCAACAGAAUUAUUGCAAAUUGGGGUAGUUAUAUAAAAGUCAAACAAGGAGGUAUUGAGAGUCAAUCUUAGUGUUGUUAAAUUAAUUUAGGAACUUCCUUCUCUAUUUCCCCUACUUCUGCUUUAUAUGUUCGGCUCCCUUCUCUCCUAAUUUACAUCCUGGACUGAUGUUAUUUUUACCCUUCUGGGUAAGAGAUUCAAAAAUAAAAACCUAAAAGUUAUUUGUUCCCUGACAAUUUGUAUAGCAUAACGUGCUACCAAUCGCAUACACCUUGGUUAUGAGCUGGGAUGUUGUUUGUCUAGAUUCUUAUCAUAAAUUAACAUAAUUAGUUAGCAUAAAUAAUUUAGGGAUAUUGUGUGUGUGUGUGUGUGUGUGUGAGAGAGAGAGAGAGAGAAACAGAAAAUAAUCUUCACUGAAACAUUUGAGGUUUUCUCCAUUAUAACCAUAGAAUGGAGAUUAUACUAUAAACACUGUACAAUCUUCUUUAAUGUUUUAUUUUUUAACUGAGAAAUGGAUAAUUCCCACUAAAAGGGGAUAUUAAGAUAUCAGGAUAUCUGAAUCCAAGUCAGGUCCUCAGCUAAACCUCACUAACUAGUACAUUCAUGUGUUAGGACUUUCUAAUACUGGGCUUACACUGAACCACUUCCUCCACAUUUAAAAUUCCCAUUGUCUCACCAUCCAAUCCCCUCAGCAGAGGUCAGCUGUCAAGGGAAUAUACAUCAAGGGCAUAACCAGAUCCAGAAUGAGAUGUUACUAGUGUAUUGACCGACACUAAAAUAAACUUGCCUCUAAAAACAAGCAAGAAGACAUUAUAAAACUGCAGGUCCCGAUCCAGAGGAAUGAAGGUUCAUGUUAAGAACUUCAUCUUCAAAGGCAAUAUCUACAGUCUGUUGCUCACUGCCCACUUUCCAUGAGAUCACCCCUUUCAAAUUUGAAGGCCAAGCAUCCAGUUUCCAAAGCCUUUUGCUGGAUAGCAAUGAUAUCACCUCUUCAGUACAGUAAGUCACAUGUGCCAUGAUGAUGCACUCUGGGAAAUGACACAUCAAGCAGCCGCGGUGUGCUCUGAAAAGAAAUGGCACUCUAAAGAAAGAAACCCAAGCAAAUCCUUCCGAAAACAGGAGCACCUUCAGUUCAUGGAGUUCGGCAUUGGUCAUAUCCUUCAUGGCUGGCAAGCAUUUUGGUGAAGUCUAAAAACUCUUCUCUGGUUAGGUGGAAAUGUCUUCCAUGUGCAUUCUUGGUCAGCCUCCAUCUCUCCACUGAAGGAACAAAAAUGAUGGUUUUCCUAAGUGAGCCUGUCCCAUGAGUCUGUUUGUCAACUGGAUGCAAAUCGCCUCCACAUUUUCUCAGGCAUGAGAAGAGAAAGCAGCCAAUGUAAGCCACACUGCAAGGAGAGACCGGUUCUGUCUAUGCCAGCCCACAGUGGCAGGUCAGAAAGAAUUCUGUGCUCACAUAUAGGAAACAGAUAUUUCCAUAUUUAACUGACAAUGCUUUUGAUAAUUCUACAAUGGACCAAAAAGGCUUGAAGAAAAUAUUAAAGACAGUUUUAUUUAUCAUGUUUACCUCAUAUUGAAGGCAGACAAGAAUGGAGGUUCUUACCAUAUGCAUUGCCUUUUGGAAAAAAGAUUUCUGGUUUGCAACUUGAUGGACCUUAGUCUGGAAUUGACUAUGAAGUCAGGUCUCUCUCACUUUGAAAAUGUGAAUAUAUUAGUGCAGUACAAAGCUCUGGUCACAGUGUCUACUUUCAGAAGAUGGCAUUGAAUUUCCAGGGGCAGGAAUGUUCUGGAAUGUUGUCAAAGGAGGAAAAAACAGUGUCCUCCCCACACAUUUAGAAAAAUAAAGGUUCGGAGAACAUGGCGUACUACUUAUUAAAGGUUUUGCAAAACACCACACCUCAGCAAACAUUCCUGAGAAGCGAAGGAAACACUGGUCACUGCUGCACCUCGGUGUCUUCAGUUCUGGUUUUAGUGAAAGGGACAAUAGCACGGAACCAAGGCCAGCACUGGAGGAAAGAACCCAGGCCACAGUGGCAAAUCUUUAAACGAGCCCACAGUCCUGUUUCAAGCCCUUGGUGUGGGUCUGUCAUUCUAAGCGAUAUUUGGGGCUUCGUGGUGACUCUGGUGGGUAACCAAGUCUGUCCCUGAAGUUGACACUUAGCAACUUCCUUUUUCUUCACCCCCACUGCGCCUGAUUGGGUUCGCUGGGUUCACUCUGCAUGGGUCAACCCAAGUCUAGCUGCCCCUCAGGCCAGCUCAUUUCCUGGGUUCGCUGGGUUCACUCUGCAUGGGUCAACCCAAGUCUAGCUGCCCCUCAGGCCAGCUCAUUUCCUGGGUUCGCUGGGUUCACUCUGCAUGGGUCAACCCAAGUCUAGCUGCCCCUCAGGCCAGAUCAUUUCCUGUCUCCCUUAGAAGGUUUGAAGAAACUGAUGUUGCCAGUCUCAGUAGGGACCAAAGAAAAUUCAAUAUUCCGCUUAUGAUGGAAUAGCUUGUCCACUGGUGUGCCCUACACCCAAAGCAAUUUCUUGAGGGUGUGCAAAGCAUUGCUUUAAGGUGGUCAGCCAUGCUGCAGACCACCGAAAGACAACAGAGUCAUGUUCAUUACCCUCAGAGGGAAGAAUUCAUGAAGAAGCAGCUUGUUUGGAGGUAAGCUGCCACAGUCCUUUAAAAGAAACAGCAAAUAAAUAAGAAAAAAAUUAACUUAAAAAAACAAAUAAAAAUGAGCCAAAUAUAUACUGCUUCAGACUCCCAGGCCAUAGUCAUAGGGCACCUGCCUUGCGUACAUCGGUAACCUUACCUAUACUUACCCAGCCAAUUCUGAAGAAGAAAGUCCAGCUAGAAAACACAAUUGUGUGGAUAGAAACAAACAUUUUUCAGGUUUGAAGUAGAUUACAAAUCAUUGGAAGAAAAUCCCACAUGUUAAAGUUUGAGAUGCUUUUCUUUCCUGUGCAUGAAUAUUCAUUCUCAAAGAGGCCCCUUUGAGAUUCAGGAUUCUGCUUCUGAACAAGGUGCCACCAUGAUUCUCUGCAUCCCUGAAUGGGCUGCCUUAUGCCAUGGUCCUGCUCGUCAAGCCUCCGUAGAAGACUUUGAGCAGUCACCUGUAAUCACGGUGUACUAGGGGCUGUGGCAACCUUUCUGAAUCGGUCAGCCUGCCUUCCCUUUCUGCCAAUUUCCUACCUUUUUUGUCUCAGUUCUAAAUGGUGGUAUUGCAUCCUUACCAACCCUCUACCAGCAUGGUUUUAAAAUAUGUCUUUUGAGUCAUAAAACACAUAAAUUGUAACUGUAUUGUCUAAUGAGAUAUCACAAAGCAUAAAACCUCAGGUCAUUCACCCUUUUAAUAAAAUCUUAUCAGUAUCCCAAAA
Molecule: long non-coding RNA, 4926 nt
Organism: Mesocricetus auratus (golden hamster)
Lineage: Eukaryota; Metazoa; Chordata; Mammalia; Rodentia; Cricetidae
Exons: 2
Source: RefSeq, a predicted model, not a curated record